AUACGGAGGGUGCAAGCGUUACUCGGAAUCACUGGGCGUAAAGGAUGCGUAGGCGGAUAAUCAAGUCAAAAGUGAAAUCCCACGGCUUAACCGUGGAACUGCUUUCGAAACUGGUUAUCUAGAAUAUGGAAGAGGCAGAUGGAAUUAGUGGUGUAGGGGUAAAAUCCGUAGAGAUCACUAGGAAUACCGAUUGCGAAGGCGAUCUGCUGGGACAUUAUUGACGCUGAGGCAUGAAAGCGUGGGGAGCAAACAGGAUUAGAAACCCUAGUAGUCC
This 274-nucleotide ribosomal RNA is filed under the name uncultured bacterium. RNAcentral describes it as "partial 16S ribosomal RNA". It matches the Rfam family "Bacterial small subunit ribosomal RNA", at positions 523 to 796 of the family's 1533-position model. The record is from RNAcentral.